RNAcentral lists this unclassified non-coding RNA (203 nucleotides) under uncultured fungus. RNAcentral's name for it is "partial contains 18S rRNA, ITS1, 5.8S rRNA, ITS2 and 28S rRNA". Lineage: Eukaryota; Fungi. The record is from RNAcentral.
AAGGAUCAUUAAAGAGACGUGCCCUUCGGGGUAACCCUCCCACCCUUUGUUUAUCAUACCUUUGUUGCUUUGGCAGGCCCGUCCCUCGGGACCCCCGGCUCCGGCUGGGCUGCGCCUGCCAGAGGACCCUAAACUCUGUUUGUUAAUGUCGUCUGAGUACUAUACAAUAGUUAAAACUUUCAACAACGGAUCUCUUGGUUCUG